GCGUCCCUUCAACCGAUUGAUGGCUCGGUGAGGCCUCCGGACUGGCUCAGGAGGGUUGGCAACGACCCCCCCGAGCCGGAAAGCUGGUCAAACCCGGUCAUUUAGAGGAAGUAAAAGUCGUAACAAGGUUUCCGUAGGUGAACCUGCGGAAGGAUCAUUACCGAGUGCGGGCUGCCUCCGGGCGCCCAACCUCCCACCCGUGACUACCUAACACUGUUGCUUCGGCGGGGAGCCCCCCAGGGGCGAGCCGCCGGGGACCACUGAACUUCAUGCCUGAGAGUGAUGCAGUCUGAGCCUGAAUACAAAUCAGUCAAAACUUUCAACAAUGGAUCUCUUGGUUCCGGCAUCGAUGAAGAACGCAGCGAACUGCGAUAAGUAAUGUGAAUUGCAGAAUUCAGUGAAUCAUCGAGUCUUUGAACGCACAUUGCGCCCCCUGGCAUUCCGGGGGGCAUGCCUGUCCGAGCGUCAUUGCUGCCCUCAAGCCCGGCUUGUGUGUUGGGUCGUCGUCCCCCCCGGGGGACGGGCCCGAAAGGCAGCGGCGGCACCGUGUCCGGUCCUCGAGCGUAUGGGGCUUUGUCACCCGCUCGAUUAGGGCCGGCCGGGCGCCAGCCGGCGUCUCCAACCUUAUUUUUCUCAGGUUGACCUCGGAUCAGGUAGGGAUACCCGCUGAACUUAAGCAUAUCAAUAAGCGGAGGAAAAGAAACCAACCGGGAUUGCCUCAGUAACGGCGAGUGAAGCGGCAAGAGCUCAAAUUUGAAAGCUGGCCCCUUCGGGGUCCGCGUUGUAAUUUGCAGAGGAUGCUUCGGGUGCGGCCCUGUCUAAGUGCCCUGGAACGGGCCGUCAGAGAGGGUGAGAAUCCCGUCUUGGGCAGGUGCCCGUGCCCGUGUGAAGCUCCUUCGACGAGUCGAGUGUUUGGGGAAUGCA
Molecule: ribosomal RNA, 924 nt
Filed under: Aspergillus stellatus
Lineage: Eukaryota; Fungi; Ascomycota; Eurotiomycetes; Eurotiales; Aspergillaceae
Description: eukaryotic LSU rRNA
Rfam family: Eukaryotic large subunit ribosomal RNA (bases 640-924)
Source: RNAcentral